RNAcentral lists this long non-coding RNA (1327 nucleotides) under Anser brachyrhynchus (Pink-footed goose). Its description in RNAcentral is "lncRNA (ENSABRG00000001673.1)". The record is from RNAcentral. Lineage: Eukaryota; Metazoa; Chordata; Aves; Anseriformes; Anatidae.
UUUUGUUUUGUUUUGCUUUAUUCCAUUUCAUUUUUUUUUUUUGAUUUUUUUUUUCGAGGCUUUGCGUGUCCUUCACCAGCCAGAAACCAUCACGUAAACAUCCGGCCGCUGCGCCAGGCGGAGAGCGCACGGCGAGGGAGGAUGCGUCCUGCCUCCCCCUCCGGCCUCCCCUGCCACGGGUCCGGGUGGCACCGGGGUGAUCCCCCCGGGAUGGGCAGGGUUGGCACACUCAGGCCAUGUCCCCGGCACGAGGGACGUGGGGGACAGAGGCUGAGCGCUGGUGGCAGCCGGCUCGGAGGAACGCACUCCGUCUCUCCGGAGAGAUUUCGGAGCUCGUGCUGUGCCGGGGCAGGAGGCGCGGGGAGGCCCUGAGCACCUCUGCCAAGACUUAAUCAGCAGCUCCCCAGGCCGGAGGUGUUGCUUCAAUCUUUCCGAGGGUUCAGGGAGGUCAAAGACUUUUUCCGACGGUUCCCAUCGGGCCGCACCUUCCCCAGAUUGCAUCAACGCGAGAGACCGCGCUAUCCGCCGCGCCUGGCCCCGCGGUUAGCUCAUCCCUUGGCCGGGAUGUUCCCAUCCUGUUUGGAUUUAUUCACCCAUCUGCCACGGAUCCCGGGGGCCGCUUCUGGUCUGCCCUCCUGGGGACCCCUCGUCGGAACGCCUGCAAGUGCGGGUGCCCCUUGCGUGAGCGUCAGAACUGGGGGUCCCAGCUGCAACUUGAGCCCCAUCUCUGCCCUCCUGUGGGGCUGGGAUCGCUGCAGGGGCACGCAGGGCUGCUCCCCCCAUGGCCGCAGCUGUGGCUCGUCCUCUGCUUGUCCCCAGGGGUGUCCCAUCCAAGGGAACGGCCACCGAUGGGAGAAGGGGGGCCAGGACCGCCCGACAGAGUGACGAGAUCCACGCGGAGGAGGCUGUUGGGAGGGGGAAGCAGCCCUGACCCAGAAGUGACCCAAAAGAGCAAUAAACACAGAAAUACGCCGAGGCCCCCCCCGGGCGGGCGGUUUGUCACACGGCGUGCCAGGAUGUCACCGUGGCACUCGCUGCCCUGCGCUCCGGCUGCGUGCGGGCACCGUGCUCCCUGGCACCCGCUGGGCAUCCCCAGGCAGGACGGGGGGGCAGCCCCCGCCGUGUCCCCCCCCGGGGGGCCAGGGGGACAGGAGGGGGCCAGGGGAGGUGCGGGGUCGGGGGCAGCCAGCCCCACAGCGCUCCGAGCCCCAGGGGAGCCGCUGAGGAUCCAGGAGCUUUUCUGGUGAAGACAGCGCUGGGGCAGAGUCAGCUUACGUUUAUUUUUUCCCCUAAUAAAAAACUAAUAAAGGAGAAAAUGAAAAAAUAA